AACGAACGCUGGCGGCAGGCCUCAUACAUGCAAGUCGAGCGAUUAAGACUCCUUCGGGAGUGUAUAAAGCGGCGAACGGGUGAGUAACAGGUGGAUGAUCUACCUUCCGGUGGGGGAUAACGGCUGGAAACGGCCGCUAAUACCGCAUUCGGUUAAUACGCUGCGGCGUAUUAAAGAAAGGCGCUUCAAAGCGCCGCCGGGAGAUGAGUCCGCCCCCCAUUAGCUAGUUGGUGAGAUAACAGCUCACCAAGGCAACGAUGGGUAGCCGAACUGAGAGGUUGAUCGGCCACACUGGAACUGAGACACGGUCCAGACACCUACGGGUGACAGCAGUAGGGAAUAUUGGGCAAUGGGCGAAAGCCUGACCCAGCCAUGCCGCGUGAGUGAUGAAGGUCCUAGAGAUUGUAAAACUCUUUUCUGUAGGAAAGAAUAAAAUAGGGAAGGAAAUAGGUCCUUAUUUUGUACGGUACCUCAGGAAUAAGGAACGGCUAACUCCGUGCCAGCAGCCGCGGUAAACG
RNAcentral lists this ribosomal RNA (518 nucleotides) under uncultured bacterium. RNAcentral's name for it is "bacterial SSU rRNA". It matches the Rfam family "Bacterial small subunit ribosomal RNA", at positions 29 to 527 of the family's 1533-position model. The record is from RNAcentral.